RNAcentral lists this long non-coding RNA (647 nucleotides) under Pan troglodytes (chimpanzee). RNAcentral's name for it is "long non-coding RNA NONPTRT014654". The record is from RNAcentral. Lineage: Eukaryota; Metazoa; Chordata; Mammalia; Primates; Hominidae.
GGGAGACAGAUAGAGAAGUAAAUAAAAGAGUACAAGAGAAGAGAAACGAGAGAAAGGUUUACUUUGGGCAUGGCUUAAUAAGAAGUCAUAGAAACAAAAGGACUCCCACGUGUCUGGAUACCACACAUGCAUGUACACGCACAUAGCUGCACACAAUGGAAACCAGGUGGAGAAAAUCAGCUGACGGGGAGGAUGACUUGAUGAUUGACAUUGUCUCUAUUUUUUGUCAGUUUUUCUUUUUGAAAGUUCACUCCUGGAGAGAAAUUUUACCUCUGGAUGAAUCACAUCUUGAAUCUCAUGCAUUUAGAUAAUAUUUAGGAAGAGUGUCUUAGCCUCUGGACUACUGCCCAAUGAAGACAGCUAUGAAAUGCAUGGAUAACUUGUUAAUCAAUAUUUGUCGUAUGUACUGGCAGCAUCAGCAUCAGCUGGGAGCUUGUGGUGGUCUCCAGGUCAGACCUCAUGAAUCAGGAUAUCAGAGAGUGAGACCCAGGAAAGUGUGCUUUACUAAGUUCUUCAGGUGAUUCUUGAGUACUUUAAAGGUUGAGAAGCACUGUCUUAGGAUGUGGAGGAAUGAAGCUAGAGUGGCUGAGCUCUGUCAUUGACUAACCAUAUAAUCAUCAGAAAGUUACUUACCUUCUCUGGACCUU